AGCUUUAUGCAGUGGCAGUAUCUUAGCCAAUGAAGUUUAUCCAAAGUGCGAUUAUUGCUAAUUGAAAACUUUUUUCAAUACCCCACCAUGACAACUUGAAAUAUAGUCAGCAUUGGCAAUUUUUGACAGUCUCUAUGGAGA
Molecule: small nuclear RNA, 141 nt
Organism: Otolemur garnettii (small-eared galago)
Lineage: Eukaryota; Metazoa; Chordata; Mammalia; Primates; Galagidae
Gene: U4
Rfam family: U4 spliceosomal RNA
About the family: U4 small nuclear RNA (U4 snRNA) is a component of the major U2-dependent spliceosome. The structure of U4 snRNA from yeast and human has been reported.
Source: Ensembl